UUGAAAUUUCACAAAUUUUCGCUCGAACACUAAAGUAUUUGGGCGGCGACAUUCAGCUAAGUUCCCUCUCAAACAAAAAGCUAAAUACAAGCGUCUCUCAAACAAAAAGUUUCCCUCUCCGUCUCUCAGCUUCGUCCCUGCCGUCAUCGUCGUCUUCCCGUCGCUGUCGCCGUCGUCCCUCGGUCAUCAUCUUCCCGUCUCUGCUGCCGUCGCAUUCCUUCCGUCGUCUUCCCUCUAAAGCAGCGCCUAUGCACGCCUCUGCCGGCCAGCCUUCUCGUCGCCUUUGCUCCGUCGCCUAAGCAGUGUUCUAUUGCUCUUCUCGUCGCCUCUUCCAGCCUCUACCUCCAUCGCUAGUGUCCAUCACCAUUCUACAGGAUACCAUGGUAGUUUGCCACUUUCCUGUUUAACAAAGGUUGAAGAAUAUCAUGAUAGUUUGCCACUUUCUUGUUUUCUUAAAUCAUGGAGCAUGAUCUUCAAAUGCAACUUCAAAUGCAGCAUUGGUGGUAGAAAUUCAACAAAUGUGGGAAGAAAACAAAAUGAUGAAACACAAGUCCUUCCUGAUGAUUAAGUAUUUUAUGUUUUUAUGACUUCUUGUGUAUAUGGCAAUAGUGCAUUGCUUAAAUGUUUAUGAACACAAUACUAUCUUUUUGUUGUAAAUAAUUUUGAUAUUUAAAUAUAUUUUCAUUUUGAAUUUA
Ipomoea nil (Japanese morning glory) is the source of this 695-nucleotide long non-coding RNA. RefSeq lists it as uncharacterized. The transcript has 2 exons. The record is from RefSeq and is a predicted model, not a curated record. Lineage: Eukaryota; Viridiplantae; Streptophyta; Magnoliopsida; Solanales; Convolvulaceae.